UAGGGAAUCUUCGGCAAUGGACGAAAGUCUGACCGAGCAACGCCGCGUGAGUGAAGAAGGUUUUCGGAUCGUAAAACUCUGUUGUUAGAGAAGAACAAGGACGUUAGUAACUGAACGUCCCCUGACGGUAUCUAACCAGAAAGCCACGGCUAACUACGUGCCAGCAGCCGCGGUAAUACGUAGGUGGCAAGCGUUGUCCGGAUUUAUUGGGCGUAAAGCGAGCGCAGGCGGUUUCUUAAGUCUGAUGUGAAAGCCCCCGGCUCAACCGGGGAGGGUCAUUGGAAACUGGGAGACUUGAGUGCAGAAGAGGAGAGUGGAAUUCCAUGUGUAGCGGUGAAAUGCGUAGAUAUAUGGAGGAACACCAGUGGCGAAGGCGGCUCGCUGGUCUGUAAAUGACGCUGAGGCUCGAAAGCGUGGGGAGCAAACAGG
Molecule: ribosomal RNA, 429 nt
Filed under: Gemmatimonadota bacterium
Lineage: Bacteria; Pseudomonadati; Gemmatimonadota
Description: Gemmatimonadetes bacterium partial 16S ribosomal RNA
Rfam family: Bacterial small subunit ribosomal RNA
Source: RNAcentral